UGAUUCGAAACUAACAAAGUGCGUGUGACGUCACUCGUACAAUUUCAACACGGAUGACGGGAUGUAAACUAGGAUGUAAACAAUCGAACGACGAAAACAUUCAACAUUUUAUAGCAUUAUCUCUUGCAACUGGAAAUUCCAUUGCCAUGUAGUCACCAACAGAGUUCUGAUAUUGCUGUAUUGAAGGAAGCGAACCACGCUUGGAUGGUGGAUCGUCAUUUAUCAAGAUGGCCAGCAUUUUGAUGCCAGAUCAAAAUGGAACUAAAACAGGGCAUCCAUGGGCUUGUACAAUCUGUGGCCAGAUUUUGUCACGGAAACAACGACUGCAGACCCACAUGGAAAGGAAACACCCAGAAAUAAUAAAUGGCA
Long non-coding RNA from Dreissena polymorpha, 369 nucleotides. RefSeq lists it as uncharacterized. Lineage: Eukaryota; Metazoa; Mollusca; Bivalvia; Myida; Dreissenidae. The transcript is spliced from 4 exons. The record is from RefSeq and is a predicted model, not a curated record.